Cyprinus carpio (common carp) is the source of this 1615-nucleotide long non-coding RNA. The record is from Ensembl. NCBI's taxonomy places the organism in Eukaryota, Metazoa, Chordata, Actinopteri, Cypriniformes, Cyprinidae.
AUUUGGAAUGACAUGUAGGUGAGUAAAUGAUUUUCAGUACUUCAAUUUCUGGUUGAACUGUCCCUUAAAGACUCUACAGCCUAUUGAAAAGACAUAAAUGUAUUACUUACAACCUUGAUUUCAUUAAUCUCAAAGGAAAUACCCUCAAACUAAAUGUAAACAAGUCCGUAAAGCAAUGCUAACAUCUGCAAUCUGGUUGGUAAUACGUGAUUGGCACACUGGGCUAUAUCUUCCCGAGAACCCUGAUCUCUUGUGAAAAAACAUGGUAGCCUGUCCAUGCAGACAGAUCUGACUGUGUAAUGUAUUGACAGUUGAGCAGUCUACAUUAAGUGCAUACAUUGAAAACACACGUCUGUCAAGGGAGGGGGGUUAUUUAGGAGGAAGAUCAAUAGAAGGUUAAAUGACGGCCCUUCUUUGACUCUACAGGCCCAGCUAGAGCAAGGGGGAGUAGCUCUUCCGAACUCUCCCCCUCCUUUUCUCUUUCCCUACUGCUUCUGCAGCCAUCACACAUACUCAGCUUAGUUAGCCUGGGAAAAAGAGCCCCAAACCCCGAUCAAUAACUUUGGUCUUGUCUGCCUAAUUGCUCAUUGGUUGACAUUGGCACCCAGCUAUAUGUAAGUGCAUGUUCCUGGAGUGAUUCACUCUUCCCUUUCCUCUCUCUCUCCACCUCCCUCUCUUUACUCUCAAAAACGCCUCACGCCCUCUGUUCCUUCCUCUUCGCCACGUUUGGGAUGCCCGAACCACAGUUGUCACGUCGGGACGUGAGCAUCCAAAGGCUCCGGCAAGACCUGCUCCACUCUCAUCAGGCCCGUGACGCCCAGAGUGUUCAGCUGGACGUCCAAGAGCAGAGACUGCAGGAUCUGCAGCGAGAGCUGCAAGAAAGCCAGCAGGAGCUCCAGAGGAGACACGACCGCAACCAGCAGCUUCUCAGGUUGCUGCAAGAUGCCAGGAAGCAAGAUCAGGAGCUACAGGCUCAGGAAUGGUGUUGGCUCCGGAGGGCACAAGAGGACCUGAAAGCGAGAGAGGAGGAGUGGAGGAAAGAGAGAUCCUUCCUUCAAGAGCAGCUCGAUGGUGUCAGAGAGGAGCUCCACCAUGCCAAACACUCGGGGAAGAAGAGCAUCGGCUGAAAGUGCUGCAGAUUGAUGAACUCCAAAGAGAGGUUGACAUGACGCUGGCACUGCUUGAAAAGGAGAGAGAGCUGGUAGAAGAGCAGUCCACAGUCUCCAGGCUGCAGCGUGAGCAACAGGAAGCAGAACAUCAGAGGGAUCUCCUGGGCACCAGAGUAGCUGCGCUGAACUGUGACAUCCAGCAGAAAGACUGCAUGCGGCUCACAGAGCAGGACGAGGUGUCCAGUAGAGAUGACCUGCAGGCGGCGGACCGCUCGAGAAUCUGACUGCUGCACAAGAGGAGGAAGAGGAGGUGAGGAACACCUGUCAAUCAUUUAGUCUUUGACAACUUUUAUAGGUGUCUGUGACAUAUACAGAUUGAAAAUACAGUGAUGUACACCUUUAUUGAAAAGUUGGGGGUCAGAUUCAGAGUCUCUUAUGCUCACCAAAGCUGCUUUAAUGAAAUAUUAUUACAGUAAAAAGUGAAAGUGACGUGACAUACAGCCAAG